AGGCAUAUAGCUCAAUGGCAUAGCACCUUCCUGGCAAGCACGAGGUCCUAAGUUUGAUUCCCAGUAUGUUUG
This 72-nucleotide transfer RNA is filed under the name Cavia porcellus (domestic guinea pig). It matches the Rfam family "tRNA". Rfam says of the family: Transfer RNA (tRNA) molecules are approximately 80 nucleotides in length. Their secondary structure includes four short double-helical elements and three loops (D, anti-codon, and T loops). Lineage: Eukaryota; Metazoa; Chordata; Mammalia; Rodentia; Caviidae. The record is from Rfam by way of RNAcentral.